Molecule: ribosomal RNA, 59 nt
Filed under: uncultured bacterium
Lineage: Bacteria
Description: partial 16S ribosomal RNA
Source: RNAcentral
UGGGCUUGACAUUUUGUGAACGUCUAAGAGAUUAGACAGUAAGUGGGGAGCACAGAGAC